RNAcentral lists this long non-coding RNA (504 nucleotides) under Helianthus annuus (common sunflower). RNAcentral's name for it is "sRNA HanXRQr2_Chr15g0684911". The record is from RNAcentral. Lineage: Eukaryota; Viridiplantae; Streptophyta; Magnoliopsida; Asterales; Asteraceae.
UCACAACAUCACUCCCUUCUUCCCCCCUUACAACCUACAAACUCUCUCUAUAGUCUCACCAUUUUCAUCUUCUCAUCAACCAAAUCUAAGACUUUCAAAGGCGACCCAAAGCAUUACAAGGUGUUUCAAAGGGUUUACAAGUUCAAGGAGUUUCACGAAAGGUGUUCUUACACUUGUGGAGCUUUUAUCUUCUUCUUUGUUCAUCAAGAGAUAAUCCUUAGCCCUUGUGCCAGUAAAUUCAUGUAAAUAUGUUCUUGAAAGUAAGUAGAUCCUGCACAGUUGAAAUCAAGGCACAAGGAUCACAAGUCGAUGCCAUCUUUUGAAGGGUUUGGUUCAUAUAUUUCGCCUUCACGCGAAAUAUAGGAUGCAAAGCCUUGGUUUAUUUCAACAAUAUUUUGUGUAAAAGUCACUUGUUGGAGUUAAACCUUUAGGUUAUGUCUCAUGAACAAAUACUUGACUUGUAAUUUGUUUUAAACAAUCUAUGGAUGGGCAUCGUAUCUAUUU